This 227-nucleotide long non-coding RNA is filed under the name Hordeum vulgare. RNAcentral's name for it is "long non-coding RNA (HVUL_LNC012662)". Lineage: Eukaryota; Viridiplantae; Streptophyta; Magnoliopsida; Poales; Poaceae. The record is from RNAcentral.
UUUUUACCUUUUUGACUUUUUUAUUAUUUGAGGUGGUACAUUUUUUUGCGAAAAGAAAAAAAUGAAGUGCUUAUGGGCUUGCUCGGCAUCAAAUUUUCUCUCCUCAUGGGCCUGCUUGUUCUGCUCGCGAUCGAAGCCACGACCUUCACUUUACAUCCAAAAGCUUAUGACCAAGAGACAUGGCUUUCAGUUAUGUCGGAAUACUGGGUUCUUUUGUUUAAUAGUCC